Molecule: unclassified non-coding RNA, 287 nt
Organism: Callithrix jacchus (white-tufted-ear marmoset)
Lineage: Eukaryota; Metazoa; Chordata; Mammalia; Primates; Cebidae
Rfam family: Metazoan signal recognition particle RNA
About the family: The signal recognition particle (SRP) is a universally conserved ribonucleoprotein. It is involved in the co-translational targeting of proteins to membranes.
Source: Ensembl
GCCAGGCACAGAGGUGCCUGCCUAUAGUCCCAGCUACUUGGGAGGCUGAGGCUGGAGGAUCUCUUGAGCCCAGGAGUUCUGAGCUGUAGUGCACUAUGCUGAUCGUGUGUCCGCACUAAUUUCGGCAUCAAUAUGGUGACCUCCCAGGAGCGGGGGACCACCAGGUUGCCUAAGGAGGGGUGACCUGGCCCAGGUUGGAAAUGGAGCAGGUCAAAACUCCCGUGCUGAUCAGUAGUGGGAUCGCGCCUGCACUCCAGCCUGGGCAGCAUAGCGAGACCCUGUCUCUU